This 458-nucleotide ribosomal RNA is filed under the name uncultured bacterium. RNAcentral's name for it is "SSU rRNA". It matches the Rfam family "Bacterial small subunit ribosomal RNA", at positions 26 to 518 of the family's 1533-position model. The record is from RNAcentral.
AGAAUCAACGCUGGCGGCGUGCCUAACACAUGCAAGUCGAACGAGAAAGUGGAGCAAUCCAUGAGUAAAGUGGCGCACGGGUGAGUAACACGUGACUAACCUACCCUCGAGUGGGGAAUAACUUCGGGAAACCGAGGCUAAUACCGCAUAAAACCUAAGGGUCAAAGGAGCAAUCCGUUUGAGGAGGGGGUCGCGGCAGAUUAGUUAGUUGGCGGGGUAAUGGCCCACCAAGACGAUGAUCUGUAUCCGGCCUGAGAGGGCGCACGGACACACUGGAACUGAAACACGGUCCAGACUCCUACGGGAGGCAGCAGUGGGAAUUUGCGCAAUGGGGGAAACCCUGACGCAGCAACGCCGCGUGGAGGAUGAAAUCCCUUGGGAUGUAAACUCCUUUCGAUCGGGAAGAUAAUGACGGUACCGGAAGAAGAAGCCCCGGCUAACUUCGCGCCAGCAGCCGC